UACGUAGGUUCGAAUCCUGCC
This 21-nucleotide non-coding RNA is filed under the name Arabidopsis thaliana (thale cress). The record is from RNAcentral. Lineage: Eukaryota; Viridiplantae; Streptophyta; Magnoliopsida; Brassicales; Brassicaceae.